Molecule: ribosomal RNA, 492 nt
Filed under: uncultured bacterium
Lineage: Bacteria
Description: partial 16S ribosomal RNA
Rfam family: Bacterial small subunit ribosomal RNA
Source: RNAcentral
AUUGAACGCUGGCGGCAUGCUUUACACAUGCAAGUCGAACGGUAACAGGCCUUCGGGUGCUGACGAGUGGCGAACGGGUGAGUAAUGCAUCGGAACCUGCCCAGAGGUGGGGGAUAACGCAGCGAAAGCUGUGCUAAUACCGCAUGUGAUCUGAGGAUGAAAGCGGGGGACCAGGCAGCAAUGUUUGGCCUCGCGCCUUUGGAGCGGCCGAUGUCAGAUUAGGUAGUUGGUGGGGUAAAGGCCUACCAAGCCGACGAUCUGUAGCUGGUCUGAGAGGACGACCAGCCACACUGGGACUGAGACACGGCCCAGACUCCUACGGGAGGCAGCAGUGGGGAAUUUUGGACAAUGGGCGCAAGCCUGAUCCAGCAAUGCCGCGUGCGGGAAGAAGGCCUUCGGGUUGUAAACCGCUUUUGUACGGAACGAAAAGGCUCUGGCUAAUACCUGGGGCUGAUGACGGUACCGUAAGAAUAAGCACCGACUAACUACGUG